AAGAGGUCAAAAGACAAGAAGGUGCACUGAAUGCUAAAGAUGACCUCCAUGAACCACAAAAAAUGAACUCAGAAGAGGAGCACAAGGUUUCAAGUAGACCACAAAAAAGUCUCAGAAGACAAGAAGCUGCACUGAAUCUUGAUGACAAUAUUAAUGAAUCAAAUGAAGAGAUCAAAAGACAAGAAAGUGCACUGAAUGCUAAUGAUGACCUCCAUGAAU
This 219-nucleotide unclassified non-coding RNA is filed under the name Hevea brasiliensis (rubber tree). Lineage: Eukaryota; Viridiplantae; Streptophyta; Magnoliopsida; Malpighiales; Euphorbiaceae. The record is from RNAcentral.